Long non-coding RNA from Talpa occidentalis (Iberian mole), 1514 nucleotides. RefSeq lists it as uncharacterized. The record is from RefSeq and is a predicted model, not a curated record. Lineage: Eukaryota; Metazoa; Chordata; Mammalia; Eulipotyphla; Talpidae. The transcript is spliced from 7 exons.
UAAAGGUGAUGUACACCAUGGAAUGUCUCAUGAUGGCAAAUUUCCUGUCUUAGACCCACAUAAAGAAAAAAAGGUCAUUCAUCAAUUUCUGUGUGUUUAAAUCGUCCUGCCAGCUGCACUGCAGAGCCACGGCCAGCACCAGUUUUGGUAGGUAGUUGGACGAUGACAUAGUAAGUUUCCUGCGAACUGGAACUGCUUCCCAAGAGGAAGUAUGAGGAAGAACCUGGAUGUGGUUCUUAGCUUCAUCAGGAAAGCAGAAUCUGAUUGCAUGUACAACCCUGAAGCAUCCAUCCCAUGUGGGGAAAACUGUUGUUUUCCUAAUCACAGGCUGCACACAUGUUGGGAUGCCAUGACCUGGCAAUAAGUCCACGGUUUCCUGGAUGUGCCAACCCAACCACAUCACCAAGGACAAUCUGCACCUACACGGAAGGGAGAGAAAAGGAAAAUGUCUGCUGAUGAAAAGCCAGUGAAGUUAAUGACACUAACAGUUACUUUUACUGUCAUCAAGAUGCUCAUCUUAGAAGCCCCCAGGUGUGCUGAGCAGUCAGGAGUGCUCAUUUACACACAGAUGAACAUGCAAACAAUACUAAAGAUCAGAGAUAGCCACACUGCAAGUUGUAAUGGAAGAGUUCAAGAGUCAAGCAAGAGUUAAAGAGGCUAUCCAGAAGUUGCCAACAGCAGAAAACUCCAUCCAUCCAUUUGACUGGAGUGGUACUGGAAGCAGAUGGUGUUACCAGUAACCGAACAACUGGACUGACCAGGAAGUUCCUGCCAUUGCCUGAAUCCACCCAGAUACAAAGGCAUCAAGACUUCUGGGAAAAGUCGUCUGUGAAAAGUAGUCAUGGAAGGGCAGAAUGGAAAAUGACUCACACACGGAGUAAGGUUGGUGAGCACCUCGUGAGACUGCUGAGCAAGCUUCACCAGCUGAUUACUAUCUACAGCAAAUCAUGGAGACGUGUGUUCACUAUCAAGAGUCCUUUGGAUGCAUCUGGAUUUCUUUUCCACAGUUUCCACAGGCUAGAAGUCAAAGAUCAGGUGCCAUUAUAGUUGGGGAGGGGCCCUCAUCUGAGUUGCAGACAUCUUGUAGCCUUGCAAUGCAAAAGGGACAUGGAAGCUCUCUUGUACUUCUUUUGUCAAGUCCUUAAUCUCAAUUAUGAGGACUCCAUUCUCGUGAUCUAAUCAUGAUCUAAUCACUACCCAUAGACUCCCUACCUCCUAAUACCAUCACAUUGGCUUUAGGAUUUCAACAAAUGAAUUUGGAGGGGACAUAAACUUUCAGAUGACAGCAACUAAUGAUUGCAGAAAAUAAUUAAAGCUUGUCCAGAGCCUUGAAAAUGUGCUUGAAGAGGGAGACGUAGUAUUAUGCAACAUCAUUUCAACACAUACAACUACAGAACAUUAUCCCGCAAAGGACUAACAUCCUCAGAGGGGUACCCUCAGGAGACAUCACUUUAAAUGUCUCCACAUCUGUAACAUCAUUUUAUUUCAUUCUUGCAAUGUUCCUGUGAGGUAUA